GAGAGUCUGUGCGAAGGUAGGUGGACAGACUGCAUUGCUUGUUGUUGCGCUUCGGAGGCGGCGAUCCCCGAAGGCGAGCUGAAAUACGGCUGGAGCGUUCCCAGGCUACAGUUUGUAGCCGACGAUUGUGGAAGACUAGGAGCCGGAGAGGUGGCCCACCCUCAGGGAGCGCUUGUGCUCGGAGGGCUUCUCAUUUCCCCAAUACCACAUUAAAUCGUCUCAUCUGAGGAGGAUCCACAGAGCUGUCUUCUAUGGUAAUCUGGAGAAACUGGAGUACCUUCUGCUCACGUAUCAUGACACCAAUGAGAGAGACAAGGAGGAAAGCAUCCGGUGAAAGACAGAGAUCACAUUUCAACUAGAUUCUUAGGAAGUAUGGAUUCACUAACUUCAGCGAAGCUUACCCUGAAAGAAGCAGAUCCCAGUUCAAAAGUAGCCAUAAGAAGGAAGGAUUCACCACCUCCAGGA
RNAcentral lists this long non-coding RNA (465 nucleotides) under Homo sapiens (human). Its description in RNAcentral is "non-protein coding lnc-RPIA-1:7". Lineage: Eukaryota; Metazoa; Chordata; Mammalia; Primates; Hominidae. The record is from RNAcentral.